CAUGCCUUGAGUGUAGGACUGU
Molecule: microRNA, 22 nt
Filed under: Dasypus novemcinctus (nine-banded armadillo)
Lineage: Eukaryota; Metazoa; Chordata; Mammalia; Cingulata; Dasypodidae
Also listed under: 4 other names
Description: dno-miR-532-5p
Gene: dno-miR-532-5p
Source: miRBase by way of RNAcentral